UACAGAGGUCCCGAGCGUUGUUCGGAUUCAUUGGGCGUAAAGGGUGCGUAGGCGGCGGGGCAAGUCUGAUGUGAAAUCCCGGGGCUCAACCCCGGAACUGCAUUGGGUACUGCCUUACUAGAGUACUGGAGAGGGAACUGGAAUUUACGGUGUAGCAGUGAAAUGCGUAGAGAUCGUAAGGAAGGCCAGUGGCGAAGGCGAGUUCCUGGACAGUGACUGACGCUGAGGCACGAAGGCCAGGGGAGCAAACAGG
RNAcentral lists this ribosomal RNA (253 nucleotides) under uncultured bacterium. RNAcentral's name for it is "partial 16S ribosomal RNA". It matches the Rfam family "Bacterial small subunit ribosomal RNA", at positions 524 to 776 of the family's 1533-position model. The record is from RNAcentral.